This 594-nucleotide ribosomal RNA is filed under the name Listeria monocytogenes. RNAcentral's name for it is "bacterial SSU rRNA". It matches the Rfam family "Bacterial small subunit ribosomal RNA", at positions 198 to 779 of the family's 1533-position model. Lineage: Bacteria; Bacillati; Bacillota; Bacilli; Caryophanales; Listeriaceae. The record is from RNAcentral.
UUUUGAAAGAUGGUUUCGGCUAUCGCUUACAGAUGGGCCCGCGGUGCAUUAGCUAGUUGGUAGGGUAAUGGCCUACCAAGGCAACGAUGCAUAGCCGACCUGAGAGGGUGAUCGGCCACACUGGGACUGAGACACGGCCCAGACUCCUACGGGAGGCAGCAGUAGGGAAUCUUCCGCAAUGGACGAAAGUCUGACGGAGCAACGCCGCGUGUAUGAAGAAGGUUUUCGGAUCGUAAAGUACUGUUGUUAGAGAAGAACAAGGAUAAGAGUAACUGCUUGUCCCUUGACGGUAUCUAACCAGAAAGCCACGGCUAACUACGUGCCAGCAGCCGCGGUAAUACGUAGGUGGCAAGCGUUGUCCGGAUUUAUUGGGCGUAAAGCGCGCGCAGGCGGUCUUUUAAGUCUGAUGUGAAAGCCCCCGGCUUAACCGGGGAGGGUCAUUGGAAACUGGAAGACUGGAGUGCAGAAGAGGAGAGUGGAAUUCCACGUGUAGCGGUGAAAUGCGUAGAUAUGUGGAGGAACACCAGUGGCGAAGGCGACUCUCUGGUCUGUAACUGACGCUGAGGCGCGAAAGCGUGGGGAGCAAACAGGAUU